RNAcentral lists this ribosomal RNA (1584 nucleotides) under Staphylococcus aureus. RNAcentral's name for it is "partial 23S ribosomal RNA". It matches the Rfam family "Bacterial large subunit ribosomal RNA", at positions 1 to 1581 of the family's 2925-position model. The record is from RNAcentral. Lineage: Bacteria; Bacillati; Bacillota; Bacilli; Caryophanales; Staphylococcaceae.
AGAUUAAGUUAUUAAGGGCGCACGGUGGAUGCCUUGGCACUAGAAGCCGAUGAAGGACGUUACUAACGACGAUAUGCUUUGGGGAGCUGUAAGUAAGCUUUGAUCCAGAGAUUUCCGAAUGGGGAAACCCAGCAUGAGUUAUGUCAUGUUAUCGAUAUGUGAAUACAUAGCAUAUCAGAAGGCACACCCGGAGAACUGAAACAUCUUAGUACCCGGAGGAAGAGAAAGAAAAUUCGAUUCCCUUAGUAGCGGCGAGCGAAAUGGGAAGAGCCCAAACCAACAAGCUUGCUUGUUGGGGUUGUAGGACACUCUAUACGGAGUUACAAAGGACGACAUUAGACGAAUCAUCUGGAAAGAUGAAUCAAAGAAGGUAAUAAUCCUGUAGUCGAAAAUGUUGUCUCUCUUGAGUGGAUCCUGAGUACGACGGAGCACGUGAAAUUCCGUCGGAAUCUGGGAGGACCAUCUCCUAAGGCUAAAUACUCUCUAGUGACCGAUAGUGAACCAGUACCGUGAGGGAAAGGUGAAAAGCACCCCGGAAGGGGAGUGAAAUAGAACCUGAAACCGUGUGCUUACAAGUAGUCAGAGCCCGUUAAUGGGUGAUGGCGUGCCUUUUGUAGAAUGAACCGGCGAGUUACGAUUUGAUGCAAGGUUAAGCAGUAAAUGUGGAGCCGUAGCGAAAGCGAGUCUGAAUAGGGCGUUUAGUAUUUGGUCGUAGACCCGAAACCAGGUGAUCUACCCUUGGUCAGGUUGAAGUUCAGGUAACACUGAAUGGAGGACCGAACCGACUUACGUUGAAAAGUGAGCGGAUGAACUGAGGGUAGCGGAGAAAUUCCAAUCGAACCUGGAGAUAGCUGGUUCUCUCCGAAAUAGCUUUAGGGCUAGCCUCAAGUGAUGAUUAUUGGAGGUAGAGCACUGUUUGGACGAGGGGCCCCUCUCGGGUUACCGAAUUCAGACAAACUCCGAAUGCCAAUUAAUUUAACUUGGGAGUCAGAACAUGGGUGAUAAGGUCCGUGUUCGAAAGGGAAACAGCCCAGACCACCAGCUAAGGUCCCAAAAUAUAUGUUAAGUGGAAAAGGAUGUGGCGUUGCCCAGACAACUAGGAUGUUGGCUUAGAAGCAGCCAUCAUUUAAAGAGUGCGUAAUAGCUCACUAGUCGAGUGACACUGCGCCGAAAAUGUACCGGGGCUAAACAUAUUACCGAAGCUGUGGAUUGUCCUUUGGACAAUGGUAGGAGAGCGUUCUAAGGGCGUUGAAGCAUGAUCGUAAGGACAUGUGGAGCGCUUAGAAGUGAGAAUGCCGGUGUGAGUCUCGAAAGACGGGUGAGAAUCCCGUCCACCGAUUGACUAAGGUUUCCAGAGGAAGGCUCGUCCGCUCUGGGUUAGUCGGGUCCUAAGCUGAGGCCGACAGGCGUAGGCGAUGGAUAACAGGUUGAUAUUCCUGUACCACCUAUAAUCGUUUUAAUCGAUGGGGGGACGCAGUAGGAUAGGCGAAGCGUGCGAUUGGAUUGCACGUCUAAGCAGUAAGGCUGAGUAUUAGGCAAAUCCGGUACUCGUUAAGGCUGAGCUGUGAUGGGGAGAAGACAUUG